CUACGGAGGGUGCAAGCGUUAUCCGGAAUCAUUGGGUUUAAAGGGUCCGUAGGCGGGCGAUUAAGUCAGAGGUGAAAUCCCACAGCUCAACUGUGGAACUGCCUUUGAUACUGGUUGUCUUGAGUUAUAGUGAAGUAGAUAGAAUGUGUAGUGUAGCGGUGAAAUGCAUAGAUAUUACACAGAAUACCGAUUGCGAAGGCAGUCUACUAACUAUUGACUGACGCUAAUGGACGAAAGCGUGGGGAGCGAACAGGAUUAGAAACCCGAGUAGUCC
RNAcentral lists this ribosomal RNA (274 nucleotides) under uncultured bacterium. Its description in RNAcentral is "partial 16S ribosomal RNA". It matches the Rfam family "Bacterial small subunit ribosomal RNA", at positions 523 to 796 of the family's 1533-position model. The record is from RNAcentral.